GAUGAACGCUGGCGGCGUGCCUAAUACAUGCAAGUCGAGCGAACAGACGAGGAGCUUGCUUUUCUGACGUUACCGUCGUAUGGGGGAGUAACACGUGGAUAACCUCCCUAUAAGACUGGCAUAACUUCGGGAAAACGGAGCUAAUACCGGAUAAUAUAUUGAACCGCAUGGUUCAAUAGUGAAAGACGGUUUUGCUGUCACUUAUAGAUGGAUCCGCGCCGCAUUAGCUAGUUGGUAAGGUAACGGUUUCCCAAGGCAACGAUGCUAAGCCGACCUGAGAGGGUGAUCGGCCAGCCUGGAACUGAGACACGGUCCAGACUCCGGCGGGAGGCAGCAGUAGGAAAUCUUCCGCGAUGGGCGAAAGCCUGACGGAGCAACGCGGCGUGAGUGAUGAAGGUCUUCGGAUCGGAGAGCGAUGUUAUUAGGGAAUAACAAAUGUGUAAGUAACUAUGCACGUCUUGACGGUACCUGAGCAGAAAGCCACGGCUAACUACGUG
RNAcentral lists this ribosomal RNA (497 nucleotides) under uncultured bacterium. RNAcentral describes it as "partial 16S ribosomal RNA". It matches the Rfam family "Bacterial small subunit ribosomal RNA", at positions 28 to 507 of the family's 1533-position model. The record is from RNAcentral.